CCUAGAGUUGUAGGCUUUGCCUGCUAUCUCUUACCCAUGUCUUUUGAGUACCUUCGUUUCCUCGGCGGGUCCGCCCGCCGAUGGACAAUUUAAACCAUUGCAGUUGCAAUCAGCGUCUGAAAAAACUUAAUAGUUA
RNAcentral lists this unclassified non-coding RNA (136 nucleotides) under soil metagenome. RNAcentral's name for it is "partial internal transcribed spacer 1". The record is from RNAcentral.